Molecule: long non-coding RNA, 6267 nt
Organism: Rhincodon typus (whale shark)
Lineage: Eukaryota; Metazoa; Chordata; Chondrichthyes; Orectolobiformes; Rhincodontidae
Exons: 3
Source: RefSeq, a predicted model, not a curated record
UCGGAUUCUCCAGCAUCUGCAGUUCCUACUGUCUCUGAUAAAUUUAUAUAACAUGUUUAACUGCUUCAUGGGAGCAACUUCAGUCAGAAAAAUGACUGUGAGCAAAAGGAGGAGAUAUCAGGAAUGUGACCAAGUAACUGAUCAAAGAAACAGCAUUUAAGGACCAUCUUAAAGGAGGAGAGGUAGGAGGGGAGGAAAUUCCAGAGUUUAGAACCUUGAUAGCAGAAAACAUAGCCUCAAGUAGUGGAGAAUGCACAAAAGCCAGAGGUGAUGAAACAAAGACCUCUCAAUGGUUUGUGGACUUGGAGGAGAGAUGGAAGUGGGAAAGGGAAAGGAUGGAUUUUAAUGUAAGGAUGCAAAUUUCUAAUCCAAAGUUUUGCUGAAUCAGGGCAGUUUGGUCAGGAAACACAGACGUGAUGAGUAAGUGAAACCUGGUACACAUUAGGUUGCAAAAACAAAAUUUUGGAUGAACUUAAUUUUAUAGAGGGUAAAAGAUGGCACGCUGGUCAGCAGAACAUUGGAGUAGUCAAGUCUGGAGGUUAAAAAAAUGGCAUGGAUGAUAAUUUCAGCAACACAUGGGCAUAGAAAAGGCAGAGACAGAUACUGUUAUUGGAAGUAGAAAUUGAUAGUCUUUGUAAUGGCGAGGAUAUAGGGUCAGUAGCUCUGUUUAGGGUCAUGUAGGAAGCUGAGAUUACAAGUAGACUGAUUCAAACUGAGGCAGGAGCCAUAAAUAGGGAUGAAAUUAUGACAAAGAAACAGGGUUCUUUGACAACGGCAAAAAACAAUAGGUACAAUCUUGCCAAAAGGGCAACCGUCAUGUUUAAGCCAAUUUUCUGAACGAAACAUUGAUGUUAGGCUGUGUAAUGUAUUGUAGAUAAUAAUGGGAUUUUUGAGUCAGUUUAUGAAUUUUUUUUGUGUCACAAACUUCCACAAGGAUUUCAGAGGAUGUAAUCGUCUUAUGAAAUGUCAGGUAUUUUUACAACUGGCUUGUCUCGCUUGGCAGGGGCACUAUUUCAAAACUGACAUUCAAAUUAAGAAAAAUGCAGUCUUGCAAAUGUAAUUCCCCUUCUUUACAGCAAACACUAAAAGGUUUCAUCAGUGGGAUUAAGUGGCUCAAGGAUCAUGUGCUAUUUACACUACACCCAUCCACAAAUUGAACCACUUCCUUUCGUGCCUAACAUCAAUCAGUGGUUUUAAUUCCUCUAACUCGUUGCAAUUCCCACAAGGAAACCAUACAAGGACAGUUGAAGGUUAGGAAUCCAGGGCUGUAUUUGCUGAUUUUUGAUAACUCUUUUUCCAGGUUUACCUCAAAGAAGGUGCUUUAUCACUUAACUGUUGAGAAACCAAUAAUCUACGAUGGAAGCGAUGUUUCUGAACUCUGAAACGUGUUCGCAUGUAAUUUUGAACUAUUCAAGAAUAGCCAGGACUACUUGGGGAAUUACUUUCCAAGGUUUGAAAGCUAUGCAAACAAGCUUUAUAUAGGAGUGUACACAGUAACUUUUCUAUUAUAGUGCUGCAACUCAUAAAUUAUGUAUCUGGGGACAGUCAGGUUGAAGCAGGGUUUGUGUUGUGGGUGAGCGUGGAGCCUCUAUCUUGCAAUAGGAAUGACAGUUGCACUGUAUGUUUUGUUUAUAUAAGGUGCUGAUAUAGUAUUUUACCUUCUGGGGAGCCCACUCUUACUGUAAUCUUCUUGUCAUCACUUAUACCACACUCCAGCUGCAGCUCAUUGCAAAGUUACAAACUGUCACACAAGCAGAAAGCUCCAGUGAUGACAUUAUGGCACGGGGAAAGGUUAAGUUGGCUAAUGUCCUCUCAUUCCCAGUAAUUCAUUGGAGCAUGUGGCCCAUAGCAAUGACUGUGUGGUGAUGACUUACUGAGUAUGUGCAGUUUAAAACAUGGGACAGUGUAGUCAGGAAGUUUAACAAGGAAAACUUAUUUAUAUUAAAUGUCACAGAUAUUUUGACUAGAGAUAAGUAUAUUUUGAAAUGUUUGUAUGCCUGGAGCUGAGGGGGCACGCAUAUAGAUUUUUAAUGUAACAGCUUUGUAGCAAUGCUCAUUUUAAUAGUGCAAUAUCUAAAACAAACUAGGCAAAGUAAUUUGAAUUAUUUUAAAGUUACACUGCACUUCUACUCUGUUUGAAAAUUUACUCGUUAGACAGAGCCAAUUAAUUGAGGAAAUCAACGCACAUUUUUCAGCCAAGACCAACAUUUCUGAUUUGGCUUUUUUUGACUUAUUUCUUUCCAUGGAAACUUACUUUUACUUAAUCAUUUAUACCAGAGUAAUCUUAUUUAGGAUCAGAAACACAAGUUAAAAUGUUCUUUCCUUGGGUUAUUAAUUAGAUCUCCAAAAGUGAGGUUUGUUACCACAGAAUUCACACGAUAAAAAUCCUAUUGCACAGACCAUAUUUAAACUAAAUCAGAAAUAGGAUGAUCUGCAUUGAUCCAGAUUUCUGUAUUUAUUCUCUUGUCUCUAUUGUUCUUUACACCAUCGCUGUGAGCCUAUUCCAAAAAGACUGGGUCAGUAAUGCACUGGUUAUGUGACUGGACUAGUUAUCUCGAGAAGUAUAGUCUAGAAAAUUUGAGUCAAAAAUCCAUCCUGACAGUUUCAUGGACCUGAAAAAUUUUUACGUGAAAAUAAGAAAAUGUUAGAAGCAGUAAAUGCUGUCCGAUUGUCUUAGAACGCUAAAUGGUUCACUCUAAGGAAGCAGAAGAACCUGCCAUCUGUAUGCAAUCUGGUCUUUACAUAACUUUAGUCCCAAAGUCAACUCUUAACUGCCCAGUCAGUUGUAACAAAGAACAGUGAAAAAUAAACUCCCUUUUAAAGUUUUGGUGUACCUUCACCACGCGAGAUGCAGCAGUGCAUGAAGACAGCCCAUCGCUGCGCUUUCAGGGUCAACUAAGUAGAGAAAAUAAAUAAACAUUUUUUUCAGUGAUGCCCAAGCCCUGGGAAUGAAUAAGAAAAUUACCGCACAAGUGAAAGUAAAACUACAGGUCAUGUAAUUUUAGGACAGUUUAUCUGGUACAGUUACUGUUGUAGUCUUCAUUUGUUAAAGUGUAAAAGGCCUCAAAUAUUCCUCUCUCUUGUUCAUUGCCCCUUUGUUCCUUCCAUUGCCAAUGCCAAAGAGUGCCUGUUCUUACUCUCCCACAGAUCUAUCAGAUUACUAGUUCCAUCCAGUACUUUCUCUGCUGAUCCCACCUCCACUGCUUUCUCAGGCAGAGGGUUUCAAAGUUGCACAACACUUUGAGAAAAAGCAAGUUAUACUCAUCUUGGUCCUAAAAAAGUGAUCCAUUAAUUUUUAAACAGUGUCCCCUGGUUCUGGACUGAUCCACAAGAGGAAAUAUCUUUCCAUGUCCACCUUGAAAAACUGUUCAGGAUCUUAUACACUUCAGCUCACCUCUUACUUUUCUAAACUUCAGUAGAAACAAGCCACCUGGCCCAACAUUUCUUCAUAAGACAACCCACUCCUUACCAAUCCAGUAAACCUCCUCUGAACUGCCCUAAAGUCAUUCUUUAAAUAAGCAAACCAAAACCACACACAGUAUUUGAAAUGUGGUCUCACCAAUGCCUCGUGUUUUUAGGCAGUUAAGUGGCCGUCGUUGAGCAUCCACCAUGAUUUUUCAAAUUAAUUCGGGGAAUGUGUGCAUCAUUGACUAGGUCAGCAUUUAUUGCUAUCCCAAAUUUUGCUGGAGAAGCUCUAGUAAGCUGGCUUGCCUUCCUGCACCGUUGCAGGUAGGCACAUCCAUAGAACGUUAGGCACGGAUCUCUGGGAUUUUGACCCGGUGACAGGGAAGGAUCAGCAAUAUAGUUGCAAAUCACGAUGGUGUUUGUGGCUUGGAGGGGAGCUUGCAACUAUUGAUGUUCCCAUUUGAUUGCUGCCCUUGUUCUUGUAAGUAGUAAAGGUCUCAGAUUUAGAAGGUGAUGACUAAGGAGCCCUGGGUGGGUAGUGCAUUUAAUCUUGUACACACUGCUGCCACUUUUCAGUGGUGGAGCAAGUGAGCAUUGAAAGUAUUAGAGAGAGUUGCCUUCUCCAGGAUGGUGUUGGGCUUCUUGAUUGUUGAUGGAGCUGCAGUUGCCCAGGCAAGUAGAGAGUAUUCCUUGUGGACAGCCUUUAAGGAAUCAGGAGGUAAUUCGUUGUCACAGAAUUCCCAGCCUCUGACAAACUCUUUUAGCCAUAAAAUUUAUAUAGCCAGUUCAGUUCAGUUUUGAUCAAUGGUAACUCCCCCUAUCCCCCAUGCUGUUAAUUGUAGGAGAUUCAUCGAUGAUAAUGCUGUUUAAUGUCAAGGGGUGAUGGUUGGAUUCUCUCUUGAUGGUCAUUGCCUGGCACCUGUCUGGCACAAAUGUUACUUGCCACUUAUCAGUCUAAACCUGAACGUUGUCCAGGUCUUGCUGCAUUUAGACACGCAUUGCUUUGGUGUCUGAGGGGUCACAAAUGGUGCAGGAUGUUGUGCAAUCAUCAAUAACCAAACACACUUCUGACUUUAUGACAGAGGGAAGGUCAUUUUAUUCACUUGCUUUUUUAAAUUCAUCCACAGGAUGAGGGCAUCGCAGGCUAGGCCAGCAUAUAUUGCCCACCCCUAAUUGCCCAGAGGGUAGUUAAGAGUUAACCACAUUGCUGUGGGUGUGGAGUCACAAGUAGACCAGUCCAGGUAAGGAUGGCAGUUUCCCUCCCUGAAGGACAUUAGUGAACCAGAUGUUUUUUAUCCAACAUUCGGCAACAGAUUCAUGGUCAUCAUCAGGCUCUGAAUUCCAGACCUUUAUUGAAUUCAAAUUCCACCAUCUGCCAUGGUGGGCCCUAGAACAUUACCUGGGUUUCUGGAUUAAUGGCCCAGCGAUAAUACCACUAAGCCAUCACCGCCAACCCCCCCCCUGGUUGGCCCAGCAUUUAUUGCCCAUCUCUAGUUGCCCUUGAGAAGAUGGUGGUGAGCUGUCUUCUUGAACCGCUGCAGUACAUGUGUUGCUGGUACACCCACAAUGCUAUUAGGGAGGGACUUCCAGCAUUUUGACCCAGGGACACUGAAUGAACAGCGAUAAAUUUCCAAGUCAGGAUGGUGAGUGGCUUGGAGGGGAACUUGCUGUUGGUGGUGUUUCCAUGUACCUGCUGCCCUUGUCCUUCCAGAUGGAAGUGAUGGUGGGUUGGAGGGUGCUGUCGUAGGAUCUUUGGAGAAUUUCUGCAGUGCAGAAGUAUCUGAAGACAGUUAGGUCUAGGAGUCAACCCUCAGGAACUCCUGCAGAAAUGUCCUGGAGCCGAGACAACUGAUCUCAAACAACCACAACAAUCUUCUUUUCUUCUAGAUGUUACUUCAAUCUGAAAAAGGUUGCCCCUUUAAUUCCCAGACACCAGUUUUGCUUGGGCUCCUUGGUGCCACAUUUGGUCAAAUGCUGUCUUAAUGUCAAGGGCAGUCACCUCUUGAGUGUUGGAGCAGGGAGUGAGCCUGAGUAGGCCAAUCAGCCCCACAAGCCUAUUCCACCAUUCAGUAUGAUCAUGACUGAUCACCCAACUCAGCGCCCAGUUCUCACUUCCUCCCUAAACCUUUGACCCCUUUCACCCUAAGAAUAUUAUCUGACUCCCUUUUUGAAAACCUUUCAUGUUUUGGUCUCAACUCCCCACCACCCACUCACUUUCGAUGAGGAAUCUCCCCACUCUCAAUAAGACUUUCUGGGUGCCCUUUCACAGGGGCAUGCUUAAGUUUCCAUUAAAUCAGUGAGGCACCACUGGAAUGGGGCGGCCUCGGGUAUCAUGGGUGUCAAUUGACUGAUGAUAUCCCACAUGUCAGCAUCUUCCAACUUAAUCAGGGAAGUUUGCCACUGAUUGGAUACUGACUCAGCGUCUCUCCCACUGUGACAGUCUGCAUUAAAUCUUUGUCUCUCGAUAAUUAAUCAGUAAACAUUUAACUGCAAGCAAAAGAACAGAGUGUGCAAAAUAAUAUUUACAGACCCAUGCAGGUUCAAACAACAAAACAGGCUUUUCUGUGUUGCAGUGAAACAAAAAGUGUAGAACGUUCUCAGUCUCUUUGCACUCACUAUCUAUAUUGAUUAAAAAAACUCUAAUAUUUGUAUUUUUGUGUGACUUUAAUCACUGCCAAAGAAUUUGUAAUUCAGUUUAUAAAUUAUUUUUUAAGAACUGAAAUGGUUUCACAUUUACUUCUUUAAACUGGGUUUUGAAGUUUCAUGCUUGGCAAUGAAUAAUGUAACAGGCACUUGGUUGUAUUGAAGUUCGAAUUUAGAGUUUUUGCUCAGAUUCUAAAUAAAGAAUGUAUUUUAAAAGUA